RNAcentral lists this ribosomal RNA (616 nucleotides) under uncultured bacterium. Its description in RNAcentral is "bacterial SSU rRNA". The stretch from base 1 to 542 matches the Rfam family "Bacterial small subunit ribosomal RNA", at positions 338 to 873 of the family's 1533-position model. The record is from RNAcentral.
CCUACGGGAGGCAGCAGUGGGGAAUUUUGGACAAUGGGCGAAAGCCUGAUCCAGCAAUGCCGCGUGUGUGAAGAAGGCCUUCGGGUUGUAAAGCACUUUUGUCCGGAAAGAAAUCCUUGACUCUAAUACAGUCGGGGGAUGACGGUACCGGAAGAAUAAGCACCGGCUAACUACGUGCCAGCAGCCGCGGUAAUACGUAGGGUGCGAGCGUUAAUCGGAAUUACUGGGCGUAAAGCGUGCGCAGGCGGUUUGCUAAGACCGAUGUGAAAUCCCCGGGCUCAACCUGGGAACUGCAUUGGUGACUGGCAGGCUAGAGUAUGGCAGAGGGGGGUAGAAUUCCACGUGUAGCAGUGAAAUGCGUAGAGAUGUGGAGGAAUACCGAUGGCGAAGGCAGCCCCCUGGGCCAAUACUGACGCUCAUGCACGAAAGCGUGGGGAGCAAACAGGAUUAGAUACCCUGGUAGUCCACGCCCUAAACGAUGUCAACUAGUUGUUGGGGAUUCAUUUCCUUAGUAACGUAGCUAACGCGUGAAGUUGACCGCCUGGGGGAGGUACGGUCGCAGAUAAACUACGAAGAAGUAGAGNGUGAGAGNGCGAGACGACGACGAGGGAGGAGG